CAAGAAAUAGUUUAAAAAUAAAAAAUAAUGGCUUUGGGUGUCAUUGAUAAGAGUUAAAUUCUUUUUUUCUUGA
Molecule: transfer RNA, 73 nt
Filed under: Ptilometra sp. DH-R
Lineage: Eukaryota; Metazoa; Echinodermata; Crinoidea; Comatulida; Ptilometridae
Description: tRNA-Pro
Rfam family: tRNA
About the family: Transfer RNA (tRNA) molecules are approximately 80 nucleotides in length. Their secondary structure includes four short double-helical elements and three loops (D, anti-codon, and T loops).
Source: RNAcentral